GAUGAAGAACGUAGCGAAAUGCGAUAAGUAAUGCGAAUUGCAGAAUUUCCGUGAGUCAUCGAAUCUUUGAACGCACAUUGCGCCCACUGGUAUUCUGGCGGGCAUGCCUGUUCGAGCGUCAUUUCAACCCUCAAGCCCCAGCGGCCUGGUGUUGGGGACCGGCGACCUCGCCCGAGCCCGCCCUCCGGGGCGCGUGCCCGGUGCGUCCGCCGCCCCCGAAAUGAAUUGGCGGCCUCGUCGCGGCCUCCUCUGCGUAGCAGCACAACCUCGCAAGCGGGAGCGCGACGCGGCCACUGCCGUAAAACGCCCAACUUUUUUAGAGUUGACCUCGGAUCAGGUAGGAAUACCCGCUGAACUUAAGCAUAUCAAUAAGCGGAGGA
This 380-nucleotide unclassified non-coding RNA is filed under the name soil metagenome. RNAcentral's name for it is "partial contains 5.8S ribosomal RNA, internal transcribed spacer 2, and large subunit ribosomal RNA". The stretch from base 1 to 121 matches the Rfam family "5.8S ribosomal RNA", at positions 35 to 154 of the family's 154-position model. The record is from RNAcentral.